RNAcentral lists this ribosomal RNA (527 nucleotides) under uncultured Geobacter sp. RNAcentral's name for it is "bacterial SSU rRNA". It matches the Rfam family "Bacterial small subunit ribosomal RNA", at positions 8 to 509 of the family's 1533-position model. Lineage: Bacteria; Pseudomonadati; Thermodesulfobacteriota; Desulfuromonadia; Geobacterales; Geobacteraceae. The record is from RNAcentral.
AGAGUUUGAUCCUGGCUCAGAACGAACGCUGGCGGCGUGCCUAACACAUGCAAGUCGAACGAGAAAGCCCGACUUCGGUUGGGCGAGUAAAGUGGCGCACGGGUGAGUAACGCGUAGGUAACCUGCCCCUGUGUUCGGAACAACAGUGCGAAAGCGCUGCUAAUACCGGAUGUGGCCAGAGACGGUGGUUUUUUGGUCAAAGUCGGCCUCUUGAAAAAGCUGACGCACGGGGAUGGGCCUGCGUCCUAUCAGCUAGUUGGUAGGGUAAUGGCCUACCAAGGCUUCGACGGGUAGCUGGUCUGAGAGGAUGAUCAGCCACACUGGCACUGAAACACGGGCCAGACUCCUACGGGAGGCAGCAGUGAGGAAUUUUGCGCAAUGGCCGCAAGGCUGACGCAGCAACGCCGCGUGGGUGACGAAGGCCUUCGGGUCGUAAAGCCCUGUCAGUGGGGAAGAACGGCUUGGGGACUAAUAAUCUCCAGAUUGACGGUACCACCAGAGGGAAGCAAACGGCUUAACUUCGAGCC